Sus scrofa (pig) is the source of this 2043-nucleotide non-coding RNA. The record is from RefSeq and is a predicted model, not a curated record. NCBI's taxonomy places the organism in Eukaryota, Metazoa, Chordata, Mammalia, Artiodactyla, Suidae.
GAGGCCACUGCCCUCACUGAGACAGCAACACAGGUGCACAUGGGAAGGAAAUAGCCAGAAAUCACUCACAAUGGCCACAUGGUUCUGAACGUUUCCAGUGGAUGGGCCUCCGCCUGAACAGUUUGGGGGCAGCACUAUGAUCCUGCCGUGAGGUCAAGUCUACUGCAGAGGCAUUUCUCCAAGUUUUUGCACUGCAUAAACUGUAUUGUGCUGUUUUUAUACCAGCAACGAAUAUUUAUUCAUACAGGAUGUUAGUUUAUUUUCAUUUUUUUCCUCUCCACCUUCACCCAGUACUUUCAAGCUCUUAGAAAAAUGAUUUGUUAUUUUUAUAUAUAUGUUACACUAUUUUUUUCUUGUCCAAAUCAGAGGUUCAGGCCACCAAUAAAAGCUGUCUCUCAGGGUUUGUGCCUCGAGAGACUCCAGAGCCAAAGCUCAUUUUCUAAGGUAUAAGAGAAAGUUGUCACAGAGGAUUUCACUGCUCCUCCCCACUGCCCCAAUUGCCUCCUACUUUCUGGUUGUAUCAGGGAUUCUGUUCACCUGAAGACUUUAAAGUUGUCAUUUUCACUCACUACUUCCUUUAACUGAACUAGGAUCCAUUAUUCCACCCAAAUACUUCAUAUGGAAAACUAAAAAUAUACUUUAGUGUGUGACAUUAUAGGAGAGGUGUCCCCUCCUCCAAAAGUUAGAAUGACGUAUGAUUAAAAUACAGAAACACAAUCUUUACAUGUUCUAAAAGAGAAGGAAGAGAAAAUACGCUUCUCAUAAAAGGAGCCCUUCUCUGGAUUUGAUGAUGAAGGACACACAUGUGACUGUCUUCUACAUGGAAGGAUUUAUUUUUUUGCCUUUCUUACUGUGAUAAAGUAUAUACAACAUAAAAUAAGCAUACAAUUCAGUGGCUUUAAUGGCAUUCACAGUGUUGUGCAACAAUCAAUGUCUAGUUAAUUUUGAUAAUUAUUUUCGUACUAUUCAGUGUUUUUUCUUUUUUCUUCUUUUUUUUGGUCUUUUUUUAAGGCCAAACCCACAGCAUAUUGAAAUUCCUAGGCUAAGGGUUGAGUUGAAGCUGCAGCCACCAGCCUACGCCACAGCCACAGCUACGCCAGAUCCAAGCCAUGUCUGCGAGCUACACCCCAGCUCAUGCAGUGUCAGGUGCGUAGCCCACUGGGUGAGGCCAAGGAUUGAACCUGCAUCCUUGUGGAUCCAAGACAGUAUCAUUAACCACAAAGGGCACCAUGAAGGGAACCCCCCAGUGUGUUAUUUUUACAGAGUCAUUUUUGGUAAGUUUUAUUUCUCUAGGAGUGGGUCUCUUUCCUGUGGAUCUUGAGCUUGAUUGGUAUAAUGUUAACCAUAACAUCUCAUACAUUUAAUCUCUGUAGCAUCUAUAAUUGUGUUCAUUUUGGCUUAUUAAUUUUCUUUGGGCCUUUUUUCUUUUUAAGAAUAAUCUUACAUGACUUUUGCCUAUUAAUUUUCAGAGUCAGUUUUUUUGCUUAACUGAUGAUCUUUGUCUUUUAAAAUUUCUAUUUAGUCAUGAUAUUCUUUUUUGCAACUUUUCAUUUCCUUUGAGAUUUUUUUCAAAAUACUUAAAUUGGAAACAAUAACAAUUAUUUUUGUAAUGUAAGUAGACCCAGUUUAGCUUUAACCUACAGGUUAGGUACUUAUCAAUAACCAUAGUGUUAUGUAUUUUCUAAUUUGUGAUUUAAUUUAUUGAUUACAUAUUUUAUCCAUGAGUUAUUCUUCAGUGUAAGGUUUUCUAAAUUUCAAAUACUAAUUCAUUUUUCUAUUAGCUCGAACCACGUGGAAUAUUCAACUUUUGUUUAACCUAUAAAAUGGCAGUUUUCUAUGGUUCAACAUAACAGUUUUCUUUUGUUAUUAAUAUAUAAGUUAAUUUCAUUUGGUCAGAGAACAUUAGAUUAUGGAUUUUGAACCAAAGCUAACCAUAUUCAUACCCAAAGUCCUGUUUCUAUACUUUUGUAUUCUCUUUGGGGAUUUUUAAAGUUGUAAGUAUAUAAAUAACCAGUCAUUUUCAAAUAAAAAUCCUGAGCCCUG